AUUGAACGCUGGCGGCAGGCCUAACACAUGCAAGUCGAACGAGCGGCGGGGGGGUGAGUAAUGUAUAGGGACUGCCCGUAAGCUGGGGAUAACUACUGGAAACGGUGUCUAAAACCGCACACUGUGGGCUUCGCCUUUUGGGAUUAGCUAGUGGGUAAGGUAAUUGCCUACCUGGGCGAGGAUCCCUAGCGGGCCUGAGAGGAUGAUCGGCCACACUGGACCUGAGACACGGCCCAGACUCCAACGGAGGCAGCAGUGGGGAAUAUUGCACAAUGGGCGAAAGCCGGAGGCAGCCAUGCCGCGUGUAUGAAGAAGGCCUUAGGGUUGUAAAGUACUUUCAGUCGGGAGGCGUUACCGGAAGAAGAAGCACCGGCUAACUCCGUGCCAGCAGCCGCGGUAAUUC
Molecule: ribosomal RNA, 403 nt
Filed under: uncultured bacterium
Lineage: Bacteria
Description: partial 16S ribosomal RNA
Rfam family: Bacterial small subunit ribosomal RNA
Source: RNAcentral